GCGUAACACGUAUGCAACCUACCCUUUACAGGAGGAUAGCUCGGGGAAACUCGGAUUAACCCUCCAUAAUAUGAUUGAAUGGCAUCAUUUAAUUAUUAAAACUCAGGUGGUAAAGGAUGGGCAUGCGUCUGAUUAGUUAGUUGGUGAGGUAACGGCUCACCAAGACGAUGAUCAGUAGGGGAACUGAGAGGUUGAUCCCCCACACUGGCACUGAGAUACGGGCCAGACUCCUACGGGAGGCAGCAGUAGGGAAUAUUGGACAAUGGGUGCAAGCCUGAUCCAGCCAUGCCGCGUGCAGGAAGAAGGCCUUCUGGGUUGUAAACUGCUUUUGUCAGGGGAUAAAAAGCCCAUGCGUGGGAAAUUGCAGGUACCUGAUGAAUAAGCCACGGCUAACUACGUGCCAGCAGCCGCGGUAAUACGUAGGUGGCAAGCGUUAUCCGGAAUCUUGGGUUUAAAGGGUCCGUAUGCGGUUUUGUAAGUCAGUGGUGAAAGCCCAUCGCUCAACGGUGGAACGGGCCAUUUGAUACUGCAAGAAUUGAAUUAACG
RNAcentral lists this ribosomal RNA (546 nucleotides) under uncultured bacterium. RNAcentral describes it as "bacterial SSU rRNA". It matches the Rfam family "Bacterial small subunit ribosomal RNA", at positions 108 to 652 of the family's 1533-position model. The record is from RNAcentral.